UAGAGUAGAGCCGAUGCGUUAAGUACUAAGGGAUGGGAGGUCGCCCUUAGGCGAAGGAGGAAUCCGCGGUAUCGUCUCGCAGCCGCU
This 87-nucleotide non-coding RNA is filed under the name bovine gut metagenome. RNAcentral describes it as "THF riboswitch". It matches the Rfam family "THF (Tetrahydrofolate) riboswitch aptamer". From Rfam's summary of the family: THF riboswitch presents a pseudoknot that joins P1-P2 and the loop of P3 and two THF binding. The record is from RNAcentral.